AACCGUCCCCACGAUCUGGAUCCCCACAAACCAGCCGCCAGCGCCACCUCCAACCCCUCCCCCUGCCCUCCGAACAUUGUCGCCGGCCAGAUCGACCGGAGCCCCCUCCCCGCCGCUUCCUCCUCCCAACCCCACCCCUGUCCUCCACCUGCUCCGCAUGCCCAAACCCGUCGUCUCCGAUCCCGCCCCUCAGAUCCACCCCGCGCCCGCAUCCGACCUACUCUAGCUUGCUCGCUCUGCCAGAGAGGAGGGGCGCCAGAGCAGCGGGCGUUGCGCGGAGAUGGAGAGCAAGCGUGUGCUGGUGGUGGGCAGGAGUGGCUACCUCGGCCAACACCUCCUCGCCUCGCUCGCCGCCAGGUGGGGGGGCAACGGCGUCGACGUCGACAUGGCCUUCACCCACCACCGCGGGGCCGCGCCGCGGGCGCUGCUCGACGCGCUCCCCAGCGUCCGUGCCUUCCGCGCCGACCUCUGCUCCGGCAACCUUCGGACAGUUUAGAGCACUGUGCGAGAAGGCCAAGGAUAUCUUGAUGGAGGAGAGCAAUGUUCAGGCAUGCUAUAUUUAUUUCUCUAAGACGUCGUCCUUGCCAUGUCUUCCAUUUCCUCUCAUAUAUGGCUUGCGUGCUGUAGAUCCGACCCCCCAUCAUUCCUUCCUUGUGUCGGCGGAAUCGCAAUGGCAAGGGACGACUGACGUGCGUACUGGACCAGGAGGUGGAGAACCGACCAACCUCGACAUGGCCUCCCUGCCAUGCCAUGGUGACCUCCUCUCUGCUCUUUCCUCUGUUUCAUUGCCGUGGAUGGUUGUUUCUCAGUCCAGCUGAGACAUGUGUAACACACAUCUCAACACAUCUAGUAGCAGAGCAACAAUGAUAGAAAGAAAAAACACCUUUGUGAUUGUUUCAGUCUUUAAUUUAGAUCGAAUUGUUCUGUUCAUAUUUGGGGUGGUUCUCGUAUAGAGAUGUAUUUCUGUUGGAUUUAUGUCUACAGAAGCUGCAUGUAGAAUUCUGGCCUCUUACCUUUUUCAUUGAAAGUAAAAGGGAAAAGGUUAAUUUUAUGUAUUACCAUGGCCAUACUAGAAGGUUAAUUUUUUUUGAAACAGAUUACAAGGGUAAUUUGAGUUAUUCGUUAUCUCCAAAGCUAAAUUGCUGUAGUUCUGCUGACCAGCCUGUGUGUUUCACUUCAAGUGUGAGGAGGAGCCUGUGGCUGACACUGCAUCAGCACAGAUGCUGCAACCCAUCAAGGGCGACUUCCUCGGCCUCUGUUACGGCCGAUGCAGCAAUAACUCAGGAAACCAUUCAUGCCUCGCUGUCACUUCUACGUUUUCUUUCUCUGUUAUAGUUACUUAUGUGAUUUAUUCAUGUAAAAUCUCUACUUUAUGCCAAUAGCUGCCUGUACCAUUGUUCUACUAUCUGUGUGAUGCUGAACAAUAUGUUGUUAAUCUGUUGCUAAAUUCUCACCAAAUGCACAUUUUAUUUCCUUAGACCUAUUGUUAAACAAAGGCUUAACUUGUAGCAUUUUUUCUUAAAAAUAAGCAAAGAAUUCCUGCAGUUUUUCUGUUGGAAAUGAGUUAUUAGUUGUCACCUACCAAUGUUGGAAUGUAGAGUAAGGUCAGGUUGUUGUGCAUGUAACUUUAUUUCUUAUCAAUAUCAUCAGACAUCAGAUGAGCCAUGGUCUUGUGCAAGCAUUUCUCUUUUGAAUGCAGCCAUGGUCUUGCAAGCAAUUGCGGCUGGUAGAACAUGCUGCUAUUAUGCUGUACUGCUUGCAGCAGUUCUUGCUUGAUAGUGGCAGUAGUAACUCAAGUAAGGUCCAAUAAUAAGUUAUUUAACAUGUGUUCUUGUUCAUUAAUAUCAUAAAAUUAGGAGUAAGGAUUUAGCUUUCAUUUUGCAUUCACUCAACGAUUGUGGCAGUGAAAUCAAAUGUCUCCUCUAUUGUUUGAAUCCACUCUGGUUAGAUGACAUCUUGUUAGCGUGGCAUGAUGAAAGAUUCAGGUUUUUUCUAUUGAUUUGUUUCAUCAUCAUUAUGCAUGUGUACUUGGUGAAUCAGGAACCCAUUAGGAGCCAAAUGCCUCUCUUAAAUACGUUUAUUAAUAUUCUAUUUGUAUUUUAGUUUGUGGCUUAAGGAACCGAGCAAGGGAAACCAUUAUACCUUGUUCUUUGUUUUGUAUAUAAACUUUAAUUUUGUCGGAUCAUUUAUGUCAAGUAAUAGUUCUUUGUUCUGUGUUAUGGUAAUAGAAGAUAUGAUUAUAACAAUUUCUUUUACUUAGGCGGGCUAGGUACAAGAAAAACAAUUGCUGCCACACAAGACAACCAAGGUCCGCUCUGCUCUAGUGCUAUCCCUCGCUCUAGCUCCGUUCGUUGCUGCACAAGAAAAACAGAGACAAGCGAAUUUUUUUUAUCUAAGGUCCUGUUAUUACUACCUAUAUAUGACAUCGCUACUGGAUUGCCUAGCGCCCCUGUUCAUGAUGGGUUAAACUUGUAUUCGCUCCUGCUGCUGCACUUUGAUGAUCAUGAGUGUGAUGCAUUUUGAUGAUCUCCUUGUACCAGAUGAGUCUGUCGAUGAAGCGACAGUGUCUCCUCUAGAGGGUGACGGCGGCGGCGCCUGUGUGCGGCUUCGACUACAACCUCCUCUCCGGAGCUCCAGUCCUAAGAAAGUUGGAAGUGCGAAGACGUGAAGAAAAGCGCGAAGCUGUGAAGUGUGACUCAGCAAAGAGUUUUCUGUUCCAUUUGACUGUAAUAUUGUAAUAGCUGGUAUACCUAGGUUAUGAUAGUCUAUAGAAAUUGUAAUACACUAAUCUAGUGUUAUUUGAUGAAUUUCACAUGUUCUCUUGUUUGGAAUAUUUGAUUAUGAAUGUUAUUUGAUAGUGUGUGA
RNA transcript from Triticum aestivum (bread wheat), 2865 nucleotides. RefSeq lists it as uncharacterized. The transcript has 3 exons. NCBI's taxonomy places the organism in Eukaryota, Viridiplantae, Streptophyta, Magnoliopsida, Poales, Poaceae. The record is from RefSeq and is a predicted model, not a curated record.